This is a non-coding RNA of Vicia faba (fava bean), 222 nucleotides long. The record is from the annotation of a GenBank genome assembly. NCBI's taxonomy places the organism in Eukaryota, Viridiplantae, Streptophyta, Magnoliopsida, Fabales, Fabaceae.
AUGAAAUAUUACAUCAAAAGUUACAAACCAAGCAUAUCCCUUCAAAGUUCUUCUCAUUCACACAAAAACUCAAAAGAAACAAAUAAGUUGAUAUUCAAUAUAUUCGUUCGGAAGAUAAUAUGGCAGAUUUCUUCACAAAAACACUCUCUACAUCAAUUUUCAAGAAAAAAAAAUGAAUGGGAGAAAAAAAAUGAAUUAAAGAGAAGACGCCACUUGAAUUGA